CGUGGUCUUUGCACAGUCUACACCGAUGUCACCCUCCUGCUUCACACCCUUCUGUGUCACCACUGCUCUUGAGAUCAAGGGCACGCAGAUCCUUCCUGCGUGAGUGAACGAAGUAUGGCGAGUCUCUGGGGAUGACAGUGGCAACAGGGUGACGGUGGACGUGGUGGUGGUGACAGUUGACGGUGAUGCUGUUGGCGAGGAUGGACCACCUUCCUCCGCACGUGCUGGGUCAGUGGACACCUGAGCGGUCCCACUCGAGGGUGGAGCACCGUCGGGGCUGAUCCGUUCCCACGGCAGCAAGCCGAAGGGUCCACCCCGCGAUCGGAGCUGCCGGGGUUCCUGGCCUUCCCACAGGUGUCGGGAUUUCCUUUCCCUUUGAUCCGGCUGUACCCGUUCAGUAGUGCCCCUCCCGGGUUCAACUCGCUUUAGCUGGGAUGGACUUCUGUCCCUGGGGACCCGAGAACCCUAACCGGUACAGAGGGGGCGACGGGGGUGAGCUGAGACGGAGCCCACGCCGCCCCGCUCUCCGUGCCGGUUCCACCUCCUCUCUGGCUUCUGAACGUCCGUGGAACGUCCUCCAUCUCUGCUGGCACCUGGCUGAGCUCAUCCAUUCCAGGCCUUUACGUGCCAUUGCAUGUGCUGAGUGAUCUUGAUUCCUCACCGCGGGUCCUGACCUUUCUCCUGAACCGCAGCUCACGGCUGACUGUCAUGCGUGUCACACUCAGCAGGCCCCAGCUGACUUCUUGAUUUCCUCUGCACAGUUGUCCCGUCUCAGAGAGCGGACAGACGUCUCAGAGAUGACCCGGGCCUGUCCACAGCUCCUUCCCACUCCCUUCAGCAGAGGCCGCUGCCUCAGGGCCUGCGCGCUUGCUAACUUCCCUGCAGGGAACACUCGCCCCAGACCUUCCUCACCUUCCGGGAGAGGGGGCUUGUGAAGGCUGAGCCCAGGGCAGGGCAGAGGGCGCGGAGGGGAAGAGAGGGAGGAGUUCUGGGUGAUUCCCCGCACCCUGGGUGGGCAACCAGGUGGCCAGAGGGACCACCCCUGAGAAGGGGCCCGGGCUGGGGGUCAGACCUGGGGAGGAAGAUGCCAAGUCCGCGUCUGGCACGAGGAGUGGGCAGCAUCCGUGGGCCAUCCAGGAUGCCGCCCAGCAGAUCCCUGAGCUGCAGCCCAGGGCAGAAGUAAGAUGGAGAGGCAGUGCCGGGCUAUAGUCCUCGGUCUGGGCAGCACCCACCCUCCUGAACCAGCCGGGCCUGCUGGGAGGAGAUCCAGCAGCAAAAUUCGUGGCUGUACUAACGCGAACAGAGACGGUGCCACUGACCGGGCUCACGGAGAAACGCAGACGCACUCAGGGUGGAUGUUUCCGCAAGCCAGCCUCUCCCAGCCGGCCACUGGCAGCCAAUUGAUAAGCCUAAUUAAUAAUUAACUUUUUAAUUAAACAUCAAUUUAAAACAA
Molecule: long non-coding RNA, 1453 nt
Organism: Orcinus orca (killer whale)
Lineage: Eukaryota; Metazoa; Chordata; Mammalia; Artiodactyla; Delphinidae
Exons: 2
Source: RefSeq, a predicted model, not a curated record